This 520-nucleotide ribosomal RNA is filed under the name uncultured Glomus. RNAcentral's name for it is "SSU rRNA". It matches the Rfam family "Eukaryotic small subunit ribosomal RNA", at positions 569 to 1091 of the family's 1831-position model. The record is from RNAcentral. Lineage: Eukaryota; Fungi; Glomeromycota; Glomeromycetes; Glomerales; Glomeraceae.
AGCAGCCGCGGUAAUUCCAGCUCCAAUAGCGUAUAUUAAAGUUGUUGCAGUUAAAAAGCUCGUAGUUGAAUUUCGAGACCGGUCUACUGGUCGUGCUUUUGUACGUACUGGUAUAAUCGGUUUCUCUCUUCUGACGAACUAUAAUGCCAUUAAUUUGGUGUUUUAGGGAAUCAGGACUGUUACUUUGAAAAAAUUAGAGUGUUUAAAGCAGGCUCACGCUUGAAUACAUUAGCAUGGAAUAACGAAAUAGGACGUUUGAUUCUAUUUUGUUGGUUUCUAGGAUCGACGUAAUGAUUAAUAGGGAUAGUUGGGGGCAUUAGUAUUCAAUUGUCAGAGGUGAAAUUCUUGGAUUUAUUGAAGACUAACUACUGCGAAGGCAUUUGCCAAGAAUGUUUUCAUUAAUCAAGAACGAAAGUUAGGGGAUCGAAGACGAUCAGAUACCGUCGUAGUCUUAACCAUAAACUAUGCCGACUAGGGAUCGGAUGAUGUUAAUUUUUUAAUGACUCAUUCGGCGCCUUAC